Molecule: non-coding RNA, 73 nt
Organism: Podarcis lilfordi (Lilford's wall lizard)
Lineage: Eukaryota; Metazoa; Chordata; Lepidosauria; Squamata; Lacertidae
Source: the annotation of a GenBank genome assembly
GCCUUGAUAGCUCUGUUGUUAAAUCACGAGACUCUUAAUCUCAAGGUCAUGGGUUUGAGUCCCACAUUGGGCA